Molecule: ribosomal RNA, 2850 nt
Filed under: Triticum aestivum (bread wheat)
Lineage: Eukaryota; Viridiplantae; Streptophyta; Magnoliopsida; Poales; Poaceae
Description: partial small subunit ribosomal RNA
Source: RNAcentral
AUGAGUUCGAAGAAAGUUCCGUUCAACCGUCAUAAGGAGAAUGAGGAGGCGAGGAAGAAGAGGGAGGAAGAUGAAGCGGCACGCGUCUAUGCGGAGUUUGUUGAGUCAUUCAAGGGUGAAAGCACAUCUGGAUCAAAGUUUGUCCGUGGGGGCGUGAUUGAUCCCAAUGCCAAGCUGAGAGCUGAUUCUGAAGGUGGAAAGUCCAAAGAUGGGUGGUCUGUUCCAAAGAAGGGCAGUAGGUAUGUUCCAUCUUUUUUGCCGCCAUCGUUUGGGAAAGAGCCGGACAAAAAGAAGGAAGAUGAGCGGCCGAAGGAAAAGGAAAAAGGAAAGCCACGGGCAAUAGAUAAGUUCAUGGAGGAACUCAAGUUUGAGCAAGAGCUUCGGGAAAGGCGUAAUCAAGAACGUGACGGUCGACACGGUAACACCUCCGCGUCCUCUAGCCAUUUUGAUGAACUACCAGAUGAAUUUGACCCCAGUGGGAGAAUACCAGGAUCAUUUGAUGAUGGGGAUCCACAAACCACAAACUUAUAUGUUGGCAAUCUCUCUCCUCAGGUGGAUGAGAAUUUUCUUUUGAGGACAUUUGGUCGGUUUGGACCUAUCGCUAGCGUCAAGAUUAUGUGGCCUCGAACAGAAGAAGAACGCAGAAGGCAAAGAAAUUGUGGGUUUGUUGCAUUCAUGAAUAGAGCAGAAGGACAGGCAGCCAAGGAUGAAAUGCAAGGUGUUAUUGUGUACGACUAUGAGCUGAAGAUUGGGUGGGGCAAAUCUGUUGCUCUUCCAUCACAAGCACUGCCUGCUCCUCCUCCAGGACAUAUGGCAAUCAGAAACAAGGAGGGUGGUACUGUAAUCAUAUCUGGUCCUGGAGGUCCACCUGUUGCAUCGGUUGCACAACAAACCUCAGAGCUGGUCCUUACUCCAAAUGUUCCUGAUAUAGUAGUUGCUCCACCAGAUGAUUCACAUCUUAGGCAUGUGAUUGACACAAUGGCUCUGCAUGUACUUGAUGGUGGAUGUGCUUUUGAACAAGCUAUAAUGGAAAGAGGACGAGGGAAUUCUUUAUUUAACUUCUUGUUUGAUCUUAAAUCGAAAGAGCACACAUACUAUGUCUGGAGGUUAUAUUCCUUUGCUCAGGGCGAUACUUUACAACGAUGGCGAACCGAACCAUUUAUCAUGAUUACUGGAAGUGCAAGAUGGGUUCCACCUGCUUUGCCAUCCAGCCGAAGUCCUAAUCAUGAAAAAGAAUCUACUUUUGCAGCUGGUAGAAGCAGGCAUGCGGAAGUGGAGCGUACACUGACUGAUUCACAGCGUGAUGAAUUUGAGGACAUGCUACGCGCAUUGACAUUAGAAAGGAGUCAGAUAAAGGAGGCCAUGGGAUUUGCGUUAGAUAAUGCUGAUGCUGCUGGAGAGAUUGUCGAGGUUCUUGCAGAAUCUUUGACACUUAAGGAGACAUCUAUUCCCACCAAGGUUGCAAGGCUUAUGCUAGUGUCCGACAUCCUUCAUAACAGUAGUGCUCCCGUGAAGAAUGCUUCUGCGUUUCGGACCAAGUUUGAGGCUGCUAUACCUGAUGUCAUGGAGAGCUUCAAUGACUUGUAUCGCAGUAUUACAGGAAGGAUUACUGCUGAAGCUCUGAAGGAGAGGGUUUUGAAAGUUCUACAAGUAUGGGCAGACUGGUUUCUGUUUUCUGAUGCAUAUCUGAAUGGGCUGAAAGCUACCUUUCUUAGGCCAGGCAACUCUGGGGUCACCCCUUUCCACUCUCUAUGUGGUGAUGCACCUGAAAUUGAAAAGAAAACUAGCUCUGAGGAUGGUAAUAAUGGAUUUAGGCUUGAUGAAGAUGGUGCCCUGGUCACAGGAAAGGCAGCAGCGACGAAGGAGCUGUUAGGGCUUCCGCUUGCUGAGCUUGAACGUCGUUGUAGACAUAAUGGCCUCUCACUAUGUGGUGGUAAAGAGAUGAUGGUUGCCAGGUUGCUCAGCCUGGAGGAGGCUGAGAAGGAGCGAGUAUAUCAGAAAGAUGUCGACAUGAAAUAUGGACAAGGAGAACCUCAUAGAACUGGGAGAGAGGAUAUUGGUUUGAAUGCGCAUAGUGCUUCGAGACCUGGAGAAGGUACUGUUGAUGAUGAAUCAGAUAUGCUGGGUCUCUCUCGUCACACAGGUCAAAAGUACUAUGGAAAAUCUGCAUCUGCUGAACCGAAACAAGUUCCAAGCAAGAAGCAGAGAGCUGAUCCCAUCUUACCAGCUUCUAAAUGGAAUCGAGAGGAUGAUGGCAGCGGCGAUGAAGAUAGAAAAGAUGGUCAAGGAUUGGGGUUGAGCUAUUCAUCUGGAAGUGAUAUUGCUGGUGAUCCUGGGAAAGCUGAUGCAACAGAAAUUAGUACUGAUCACACAAUUCAUCAUCCAGAUACAAUUGUUGAUGAAGAGCAUAGGCAGAAGCUGAGGCAGAUUGAGAUUGGUGUCAUGCAGUAUCGUGAAUCUCUUGAGGAGAAGGGUUUGUGGAACAUGGAGGAGCUUGAGAGGAAGGUUGCCAGCCACCGUAGGCGUCUUCAAUCUGAAUAUGGGUUGUCUUCUUCAGUAGAUGGGGCAAACAACAGGCGCUCUUCCGAGAGAAUACCAUCGGACCGGAAAGGAAGGUAUGAUGAUGCACGCGAUUCUUCCAAGAAGCGGCCUCACAGCCCAAGUAGGAGCCAUAGUCCUUCAAGGAAAUCAUCACUGGAUAGAGACCGAGAGCACAAUCGCAGCAGAGACAGAUUGCAUGGUAAUGAUGUCGGGAGAGACAGGGCACGCGAGAAAAGUUCAGGCCGAGAGAAGGAUGAUCACCAUGAUAGAAGCAGAGAAAGAGAAAAGGACAGGAGAAAGGGGAGGUGA